CAGCAGCCGCGGUAAUACGGAGGGGGCUAGCGUUGUUCGGAAUUACUGGGCGUAAAGCGCACGUAGGCGGCUUGGUAAGUUAGAGGUGAAAGCCCGGAGCUCAACUCCGGAAUUGCCUUUAAGACUGCCGAGCUAGCAGGUGAGAGAGGUAAGUGGAAUUCCGAGUGUAGAGGUGAAAUUCGUAGAUAUUCGGAAGAACACCAGUGGCGAAGGCGGCUUACUGGCUCAUACUGGACGCUGAGGUGCGAAAGCGUGGGGAGCAAACAGGAUUAGAUACCCCUGUAGUCCCUGUCUCUUAUAC
Molecule: ribosomal RNA, 301 nt
Filed under: uncultured bacterium
Lineage: Bacteria
Description: partial 16S ribosomal RNA
Rfam family: Bacterial small subunit ribosomal RNA
Source: RNAcentral